This 580-nucleotide ribosomal RNA is filed under the name Escherichia coli 2-005-03_S3_C3. RNAcentral's name for it is "partial 23S ribosomal RNA". Lineage: Bacteria; Pseudomonadati; Pseudomonadota; Gammaproteobacteria; Enterobacterales; Enterobacteriaceae. The record is from RNAcentral.
UUGAGAACGACAGCGACUUCCGUCCCAGCCGUGCCAGGUGCUGCCUCAGAUUCAGGUUAUGCCGCUCAAUUCGCUGCGUAUAUCGCUUGCUGAUUACGUGCAGCUUUCCCUUCAGGCGGGAUUCAUACAGCGGCCAGUCAUCCGUCAUCCAUAUCACCACGUCAAAGGGUGACAGCAGGCUCAUAAGACGCCCCAGCGUCGCCAUAGUGCGUUCACCGAAUACGUGCGCAACAACCGUCUUCCGGAGCCUGUCAUACGCGUAAAACAGCCAGCGCUGGCGCGAUUUAGCCCCGACAUAGCCCCACUGUUCGUCCAUUUCCGCGCAGACGAUGACGUCACUGCCUGGCUGUAUGCGCGAGGUUACCGACUGCGGCCUGAGUUUUUUAAGUGACGUAAAAUCGUGUUGAGGCCAACGCCCAUAAUGCGGGCAGUAGCCCGGCAUCCAACGCCAUUCAUGGCCAUAUCAAUGAUUUUCUGGUGCGUACCGGGUUGAGAAGCGGUGUAAGUGAACUGCAGUUGCCAUGUUUUACGGCAGUGAGAGCAGAGAUAGCGCUGAUGUCCGGCGGUGCUUUUGCCGUUA